ACCGCUGUGGGCGCCUCGGAGAGGGGUACGCCCGCUGCUUUCAUCUCCCUUUCUUGUCUCCCUGUAGAGCCUUUAUCUGCAAACGACAAAGGCUUGCUUACUCACAGAAAGUGAGGGGAGGCAGGCGUCCCUUCUUUCUUUUUCCCACCCCGACUCCACUCUUCAGCUUCUAGUUUGCUCUGUUUUCUUUGUCCAGGGAAAAAGAAGAAUAAGGCGAGCGAGAGAGGGAGAGAUGUUGGGGCUUUUCCUUCUGGGCUGCACGGGAGUGGUGGUCUUCCUUCAUGGCGCUAAUGUCUUCUACCACUAUCUCUCAACCCAUACGGCAGUACGUGCUCUCAGUUUCCUGGGAUUCGUAGGCUGCUAGAAUGAUGCCCUAUUGAUUCUGUUGCACUAGAGACGGCCAUGGUUCCUUGGAUCAGAUAACUCAUAGUUUGGCUUGUAAACUGUACAUAAUCAGGGAAUAAAAGGGACGAUGCCCUGCCAAGUUGCUUGAGAGGAGCAUCGGAAGUUGUUUGAGUUGUUUAUGUGAUGUAGAAUAUGCAUGGUUCUGUCUGUCUGAACAAAAAUUUUGUAUUUGACUAUAACAACAGAAUCUUUGAAUAAAGAGAGUUUCACUCUGUUA
Nymphaea colorata (pocket water lily) is the source of this 622-nucleotide long non-coding RNA. RefSeq lists it as uncharacterized. The record is from RefSeq and is a predicted model, not a curated record. NCBI's taxonomy places the organism in Eukaryota, Viridiplantae, Streptophyta, Magnoliopsida, Nymphaeales, Nymphaeaceae. The transcript has 2 exons.